This 781-nucleotide long non-coding RNA is filed under the name Anser cygnoides (Swan goose). RNAcentral describes it as "lncRNA (ENSACDG00005001892.1)". The record is from RNAcentral. Lineage: Eukaryota; Metazoa; Chordata; Aves; Anseriformes; Anatidae.
GUAUUUUCUAACUAGUUUUAGGAUGAAAAAAAGACAUAAAAUUUAAUUUUGUGGUAGACAAGAGUGUUAGAGAAAGUCAGCUUCUUUCAGUCUGUCAGUUUUCCUGGAGCCUUAACAAACUGUUAAGUACUUUGUGACGGAGCAAGGAGUUUACAAGCCCUGAGGGCCCAGCUCCAAUUGAGCAUGUGUUUCACCAAGUCUACAUUGAGGAACCAGGAUCCCCAUCGUGAUGCGCCAGUGAGAAAGAGUAACUGCUUAAAAGUUCCUUAAAGAAGGCUGAUUUCGGUCACUGAUGAUCCACCUCGGCGAGAAGGAUAAGAGAGUUGUAGUGGAUGAAAAUGAUUUUCUGUGUUACCGACAAAUUAUCAGCCCAUUCUAUCUGUGACGAGUGUCCUGAGAUGAAGCAAUGAAAUCACUGCCUAUAAAGUCUGUCCAAACAGGGCUGUAUUAAAGAGCAUUCAAAAAACUGCCAAACUUGACAUUCUGCUGGUGAAUAUAGGAUCACUGUAAAAUCUUAGCAUUUCAUGCAUUCCAGUCAAGCCCUCAGACAUGGCAGAGGUGGUGGUCUGGCUGGCUUCUGGCAUUGCAUAGCAGAAUGAUUUUCAUGCUGAAACAAUGUGGCACCAUUCUAGAGAAGUUAUGUUCCUCUAUAAAUUUUACUCAAAAAUGAAUACGUCCUGUUAAGUCUUCCAGGAUUGUUUUGAAACUUUUGUCCAUAUAUAUCUGAAACCAAAAUACUUCCCCCAUAGUACCAAUAAAAUUGCCCAGAUCUUUGAGACUU